RNAcentral lists this ribosomal RNA (1354 nucleotides) under uncultured bacterium. Its description in RNAcentral is "bacterial SSU rRNA". It matches the Rfam family "Bacterial small subunit ribosomal RNA", at positions 28 to 1387 of the family's 1533-position model. The record is from RNAcentral.
GAUGACCUUUGGGCGGCGUGCUUAACACAUGCAAGUCGAACGAAGCACUCUAUUUGAUUUUCUUCGGAAGUGAAUAUUUUGUGACUGAGUGGCGGACGGGUGAGUAACGCGUGGGUAACCUGCCUCAUACAGGGGGAUAACAGUUGGAAACGACUGCUAAUACCGCAUAAGCGCACAGGAUCGCAUGAUCCGGUGUGAAAAACUCCGGUGGUAUGAGAUGGACCCGCGUCUGAUUAGCCAGUUGGCAGGGUAACGGCCUACCAAAGCGACGAUCAGUAGCCGACCUGAGAGGUUGAACGGCCACAUUGGGACUGAGACACGGCCCAGACUCCUACGGGAGGCAGCAGUGGGGAAUAUUGCACAAUGGGGGAAACCCUGAUGCAGCGACGCCGCGUGGAGGAAGAAGGUCUUCGGAUUGUAAACUCCUGUUGUUGGGGAAGAUAAUGACGGUACCCAACAAGGAAGUGACGGCUAACUACGUGCCAGCAGCCGCGGUAAAACGUAGGUCACAAGCGUUGUCCGGAAUUACUGGGUGUAAAGGGAGCGCAGGCGGGAAGACAAGUUGGAAGUGAAAUCUAUGGGCUCAACCCAUAAACUGCUUUCAAAACUGUUUUUCUUGAGUAGUGCAGAGGUAGGCGGAAUUCCCGGUGUAGCGGUGGAAUGCGUAGAUAUCGGGAGGAACACCAGUGGCGAAGGCGGCCUACUGGGCACCAACUGACGCUGAGGCUCGAAAGUGUGGGUAGCAAACAGGAUUAGAUACCCUGGUAGUCCACACCGUAAACGAUGAUUACUAGGUGUUGGAGGAUUGACCCCUUCAGUGCCGCAGUUAACACAAUAAGUAAUCCACCUGGGGAGUACGACCGCAAGGUUGAAACUCAAAGGAAUUGACGGGGGCCCGCACAAGCAGUGGAGUAUGUGGUUUAAUUCGACGCAACGCGAAGAACCUUACCAAGUCUUGACAUCCCUUGACAGACAUAGAAAUAUGUAAUCUCUUCGGAGCAAGGAGACAGGUGGUGCAUGGUUGUCGUCAGCUCGUGUCGUGAGAUGUUGGGUUAAGUCCCGCAACGAGCGCAACCCUUAUGGUCAGUUACUACGCAAGAGGACUCUGGCCAGACUGCCGUUGACAAAACGGAGGAAGGUGGGGAUGACGUCAAAUCAUCAUGCCCUUUAUGACUUGGGCUACACACGUACUACAAUGGCGUUAAACAAAGAGAAGCAAGACCGCGAGGUGGAGCAAAACUCAGAAACAACGUCCCAGUUCGGACUGCAGGCUGCAACUCGCCUGCACGAAGUCGGAAUUGCUAGUAAUCGUGGAUCAGCAUGCCACGGUGAAUACGUUCCCGGGCCUUGUACU